RNAcentral lists this ribosomal RNA (466 nucleotides) under uncultured bacterium. Its description in RNAcentral is "partial 16S ribosomal RNA". It matches the Rfam family "Bacterial small subunit ribosomal RNA", at positions 28 to 507 of the family's 1533-position model. The record is from RNAcentral.
GAUGAACGCUGGCGGCGUGCUUAACACAUGCAAGUCGAACGGAAAGGCCACAGCUUGCUGUGGUACUCGAGUGGCGAACGGGUGAGUAACAAGUGGGUGAUCUGCCCUGUACUUCGGGAUAAGCUUGGGAAACUGGGUCUAAUACCGGAUAGGAAUCACAUGUGGGUGUGUGGUUGGAAAGCUUUUGCGGUAUGGGAUGAGCUCUCGGCCUAUCAGCUUGUUGGUGGGGUAAUGGCCUACGAAGGCGUCGCCGGGUAGCCGGCCUGAGAGGGUGUACGGCGACAUUGGGCCUGAGAUACGGCCCAGACUCCUACGGGAGGCAGCAGUGGGGAAUAUUGCACAAUGGGCGCAAGCCUGAUGCAGCGACGCCGCGUGGGGGAUGACGGCCUUCGGGUUGUAAACUCCUUUCGUCAGGGACGAAGCGAAAGUGACGGUACCUGGAUAAGAAGCACCGGCUAACUACGUG